UGGGGAAUCUUGCGCAAUGCGCGAAAGCGUGACGCAGCAACACCGCGUGGGGGAAGAAGGCCUUCGGGUUGUAAACCCCUUUCAGGAGGGACGAAGGCCGGCCGGUGAAUAGCCGUGCCGGUUGACGGUACCUCCACAAGAAGCCCCGGCUAACUACGUGCCAGCAGCCGCGGUAAUACGUAGGGGGCAAGCGUUGUCCGGAAUCAUUGGGCGUAAAGCGAGCGUAGGCGGCCCGAUAAGUCUGCUGUGAAAGUCAACGGCUCAACCGUUGAAAGCCGGUGGAUACUGUCGGGCUAGAGUUCGGAAGAGGCAAGUGGAAUUCCUGGUGUAGCGGUGGAAUGCGCAGAUAUCAGGAGGAACACCCAUAGCGAAGGCAGCUUGCUGGGACGAUACUGACGCUAAGGCUCGAAAGCGUGGGGAGCGAACAG
RNAcentral lists this ribosomal RNA (428 nucleotides) under uncultured bacterium. Its description in RNAcentral is "bacterial SSU rRNA". It matches the Rfam family "Bacterial small subunit ribosomal RNA", at positions 355 to 775 of the family's 1533-position model. The record is from RNAcentral.